RNAcentral lists this unclassified non-coding RNA (379 nucleotides) under Bombus terrestris (buff-tailed bumblebee). RNAcentral's name for it is "misc RNA ENSBTSG00005036509.1". The record is from RNAcentral. Lineage: Eukaryota; Metazoa; Arthropoda; Insecta; Hymenoptera; Apidae.
GCGGAAGUGGCGCCUAGACAUUUAACUAUGAAUUGUCUGUUGGUUAGGUAGGAUUUUAAGAUGGAGUAGUAUGGGUGGGGUAGGAUUUUUUUUAAGCUUGUAAAGUAGCCCUUCAUGCCAUACUUUAUCGAAUGCCUGUUGGAUGUCUAGGAAUACGGCUGAGCAGUAUUUUUUCUUUUCAAGGGUUUGGCUGAUCAUGUGGGUUAUGCGGUGGAUUUGCUCUACUGUUGAGUGUUGUUUUCGGAAGCCGAAUUGGUAUGCCGGAUUCUAUUGGGAAUGUUGCGGAAGUGGCGCCUAGACAUUUAACUAUGAAUUGUCUGUUGGUUAGGUAGGAUUUUAAGAUGGAGUAGUAUGGGUGGGGUAGGAUUUUUUUAAGCUU